Molecule: long non-coding RNA, 404 nt
Filed under: Mytilus galloprovincialis (Mediterranean mussel)
Lineage: Eukaryota; Metazoa; Mollusca; Bivalvia; Mytilida; Mytilidae
Source: RNAcentral
UAUUUAUUAGCAAAGAAAUGAUAACACUCCAUUAUACAAAUACAGUUUUUAUCACGUUGUCUUUCGCGUCACAGGAAACGUUAUCAGGAUAUGAUGGUUUAAUUGUCAACUUGCUCAAUUUCAGACUAAACAUGCGGACUUGUUAUAACCACCCUCUAUGCUUGUCGCAGCCGACGACAAGCUACGACGUAGACUUUUCACGAAAAAGUAGAGAACACUUUUUUUGCGAUUUAUCUAUCUUGUUUAAAUACACUAAAUGAUCCUAUAGGAAAGACCACGCAUACUGCUUAGUAAAUGAUUGGACGAUAUUUUCAAAUCCUCACCCUUGUAACAUUCGGAUAUCACCGUUUGUAUCUGCUGUGAACACAUGCAAUCAUAUAUUUAUUAAAAAAAAAAUUUUGCCA